Molecule: ribosomal RNA, 398 nt
Filed under: uncultured bacterium
Lineage: Bacteria
Description: bacterial SSU rRNA
Rfam family: Bacterial small subunit ribosomal RNA
Source: RNAcentral
GAGUUUGAUCAUGGCUCAGAUUGAACGCUGGCGGCAUGCCUAACACAUGCAAGUCGCGCGGAGUGUAGCAAUACACUUAGCGGCGGACGGGUGAGGAAUACAUAGGAAUUUGCCCUUAAGCGGGGGAGUAGCCCGGGGAAACUCGGAGUAAUACCGCAUGAUGUCGAAAGACCAAAGCCGGGACCGCAAGGCCUGGCACUUUUGGAGAAGCCUAUGUCCGAUUAGCUAGUUGGUAGGGUAAUGGCCUACCAAGGCGACGAAUCGGUAACUGGUCUGAGAGGACGAUCAGUCACACCGGAACUGAGACACGGUCCGGACUCCUACGGGAGGCAGCAGUGGGGAAUAUUGGACAAUGGGCGCAAGCCUGAUCCAGCAAUGCCGCGUGUGUGAAGAAGGCC